Long non-coding RNA from Mytilus californianus (California mussel), 3082 nucleotides. RefSeq lists it as uncharacterized. The record is from RefSeq and is a predicted model, not a curated record. The transcript is spliced from 2 exons. NCBI's taxonomy places the organism in Eukaryota, Metazoa, Mollusca, Bivalvia, Mytilida, Mytilidae.
UUCAUUCUGGCCCUAAUAACCAUUUUGAAAACAUUAUGACUUUUAAGCUAUAGUAUGCAAAUUAUUAGAUAGAAUUGAUCAUGACAGAUUAUAAAGUGUCAUUUUCCAUAUCAUUCUGCAACUCUUUUCACAAAAUAUCUUACGAGUAAAAACACUCUUAAGUCUUGAACAUUUCAGUAUAACUUACGAUCAAAUUUAGUCGUAAGAUUUUUUGUGAAAACAGCCCCAGAGUAACAGUCAUCACCCAUCUGAAGCCUCCCAAGUUAGUGUCAAACUGAUAACACAGUUGAUAUGGAAAUUGACAAGUUUUAAUCAGUAAGAGACAGUUACUUUAUGAUAAUAACCAAUGUGUAUAGGACCACCAUCAUAUAUCAAACACACAACCAUUAUGUAUGUGCAUGCUCAAUGAACAGGAGUUAUCAAUAUUGGUGUUCCUUCCUUUUACAACCUAAAUGUUUGCACCAUGAACAUCAUUUAUAUAUACUAUGAUAACAAUGUGUAUGCUAUGAUGAUCUACUACUCGAGAAGUUUCAAAAUAAAAAUAGUGGUAAUUUUUUUCUUAAGGAAAGUCACAUGCAAAAAAAUGGUUAAUGAUUUAAACAGUUUAACUUCAUACUAUGAAAAGGGGCUACAUGUGCUUUUUAUACGACCGCAAAAAUUUUGUGGUCGUAUAUUGGUAUGACGUUGGCGUCGGUGUCGUCGUCCGGCGUCGUCGUCUGAAUACAUAUUGGUUUUCGCACUCUAACUUUAGUUUAAGUGAAUGGAUCUUUUUGAAAUUUGACCAUAAGGUUAAAUACCACAAAAGGAAGGUUGGGAUUGAUUUUGGGGGUUAUGGUACCAACAGUUAAGGAAUUAGGGGCCAAAAAUGAGCAUUUUCUAGUUUCCAGACAAUAACUGUGGAACGGUGUAUGGAUCUCUCUGAAAUUAUACUACAAGUUUCCAUACCACAAAGGGAUGGUUAGGAUUUGCUUUGGGGGGUUAUGGCUCAAACCGUUUAGGAAUUAGGGGCAAAAAAGGGGGAAAAACAAGGUUGUCCUGGUUAAUGGACAAAUACUUUAGUACAAAACAUAAUUUAGAGCAGUGUAAGGGAGAUAAAUCAAAUACAUCAUUGAAAUUAUCUCCCUUACACUGCUUUUAAAUUAUGUAUAAAGUAAUGGUUAAUGAACAAUAAAGAUAAUCUAAAACAGUGUAAGGGAGGUAAUCCAAAUACAACGUUUUGGUUACUUCCCUUACACUGCUUUUAAAUUAUGUUUAAAGAAAUGCAUAUUUAUAAAGGAAGACCAGUAAAAAUAUCUGCAAAUGUUUUCAUCUUUUUUUUUUACAAAAAAAUCCAUAUGAAAAAUUUGACACUAUAUUUUUAUUAAUUCUAUUAUAAAAUAGAUUAAGUUAGCACUAUGGUAAAUUUAAAUGGGUAAUUAUGGUUGCCAACUCCAUUGGAAAUUUGAAUUGAGAUUAUGACCAUAUCUUGAGGGAAAGAAUUUUUUUGGGGGAAAAAGGGGGGGGGGGGAUAAAAAGAAAUUGUGGGGGGCCAAUUUUUUCUCAUUUCAGAUUUCAGAAAUUAAAAAGAAUUAUUCUUCAAAUAUUAUUUUUUUUUCAAAUUUCAAAUAUUGAAAAAUUUCAAGAAGUAAUCUUUAAUUGCACAGUAUGGCGCAUAAGAUUUGUAAAAUCUUUGAUCACAUUUAUUUAUUUGUUAUGCGGAAUCUAACAGUGUAUUUAGAUUUUUAAUUUUGGGUCCAGUUUUCAAAUUGGUCUACAUUAAUGUCCAAAGGGUCCAAAAUUAAACUUUGUUUGAUUUUUGCAAAAAUUGAAUAUAUGAGGUUCUUUUGAUAUGCUGAAUCUAAACAUGUAUUUAGAUUUUUGAUUUUUGGCCCAGUUUUCAAGUUGGUCCAAAUUGGGGUCCAAAAUUAAACUUUGUUUGAUUUCAACAAAAAUUGAAUAUAUGGGGUUCUUUGAUAUGCUGAAUCUAACCAUGUAUUUAGAUUUUUUAUUUGUGGACCCCUUUAUCUAAUUGGUUCAUAUUGAGGUCAAAAGGGUCCAAAAUUAAACUUUGUUUGAUUUCAUCUAAAAUUGAAUUAUUGGGGUUCUUUGAUAUUCCAAAUCUAACCGUGUAUUUAGGUUUUUAAUUUUGGGUCCUGUUUUUGUCGAGCCUGCGACUUUUGUCGCAGAAAGCUCGACAUAGGGAUAGCGAUCCGGCGGCGGCGGCGGCGGCGUUAGCUAACUUCUUAAAAGCUUUAUAUUUUAGAAGGUGGAAGGUCUGGAUGCUUCAUACUUUGUAUAUGGAUGCCUCAUGUUACGAAGUUUCCGUCAGUCACAUGUCUAAUGUCCUUGACCUCAUUUUCAUGGUUCAGUGACUACUUGAAAAAAAAGUUAAGAUUUUUUGUAAUGUUAGAUUCUCUCUUAAUUUAAGUAAUAAGAUAACUAUAUUUGGUAUGUGCGUACCUUGCAAGGUCCUCAUGCCCGUCAGACAGUUUUCACUUGACCUCGACCUCAUUUCAUGGAUCAGUGAACAAGGUUAAGUUUUGGUGGUCAAGUCCAUAUCUCAGAUACUAUAAGCAAUAGGUCUAGUAUAUUCGGUGUAUGGAAGGACUGUAAGGUGUACAUGUCCAACUGACAGGUGUCAUCUGACCUUGACCUCAUUUUCAUGGUUCAGUGGUUAUAGUUAAGUUUUUGUGUUUUGGUCUGUUUUUCUUAUACUAUAUGCAAUAGUUCAACUAUAUUUGGUGUAUGGAAAUAUUUUAUGAUCUAUUUGGCAGUCACGCAGGUUUUAUUUGACCUUGACCUCAUUUUCAAGGUUCAUUGCUCAGUGUUAAGUUUUUGUGUUUUGGUCUGUUUUUCUUAAACUAUAAGCAAUAGGUCAACUCUAUUUGUUGUAUGGAAGAAUUGUUAGCUGUACAUGCCUGCCUAGCAUGGUUCAUCUGACCUUGACCUCAUUUACAUGGUUCAUUGGUCAAUGUUUAGUUUACUUGGUUAAUGUUAAGUUUAUGUGACAGUUGUAUUAAAGCUUUAUAUUUAGGACUAUCAACAUAAUAUCAAUGAUUAGUAAAGAAGGCGAGACAUUUCAGCGUGUGCACUCUUGUUUAAA